ACCUAUACCCUUACUCUUCCUUUGUCAGUCAGGGGAAAACCAAAGGACUGACUAUAUUGCUAUUUCCCCUUGAGUUCUGGAGGGCUGCAUUCGUCCUGUACAACAACUCAUUCCCUCUUUUUGCCCUGAAUGUACUUCUAACAUGUACCAGACUUGCUCCUCACUCUCAGCUGUGGUGCUGACCCUAUUGGGGCCCCUGCUGUUAACACUGCUGAUAAUUGGUCACGAUUGGUGUUGAGGUGACAAGGUGGUGGACCUUCAAGACCUCCUAAAGUUCAGGUCUCCAGCUGCCACACAUCCUCAGAAAGGAGCAGGGGAGAGGGACCGGAGGGAGUAGGGAAGAAGAAACCGAGGAAUUGAGGAGGAAGGGGUGAGCGGUCAAGGCAUGAAAUGUGGAGAAAAGAGCUGGGAGGACAGUUCUGAAAAGGUGUUGGGAAGUCAGUGAGGUUAUGCAGGG
Passer domesticus (house sparrow) is the source of this 457-nucleotide long non-coding RNA. RefSeq lists it as uncharacterized. The transcript is spliced from 3 exons. The record is from RefSeq and is a predicted model, not a curated record. Lineage: Eukaryota; Metazoa; Chordata; Aves; Passeriformes; Passeridae.